RNAcentral lists this ribosomal RNA (519 nucleotides) under uncultured eukaryote. RNAcentral's name for it is "SSU rRNA". It matches the Rfam family "Eukaryotic small subunit ribosomal RNA", at positions 1161 to 1705 of the family's 1831-position model. The record is from RNAcentral.
AGGGCACCACCAGGAGUGGAGCCUGCGGCUUAAUUUGACUCAACACGGGGAAACUCACCCGGCCCGGACACCGGAAGGAUUGACAGAUUGAUAGCUCUUUCUUGAUUCGGUGGAUGGUGGUGCAUGGCCGUUCUUAGUUGGUGGAGCGAUCUGUCUGGUUAAUUCCGAUAACGAACGAGACUCUAGCCUAUUAAAUAGACGUCGGGUUCUCUGCACUCGACGGUCUUCUUAGAGGGACAAGGUGCUUUUAGCACCGCGAAACAGAGCAAUAACAGGUCUGUGAUGCCCUUAGAUGUCCGGGGCCGCACGCGCGCUACACUGAAGGAAGCAGCGUGUAACAACCUUGUUCUAACGAACUGGGUAACCCGUGGAACUUCCUUCAUGAUUGGGAUAGGGGUUUGCAAUUGUGCCCCUUGAACGAGGAAUUCCAGUAAACACUAGUCAUCAGCUAGUGCUGAUUACGUCCCUGCCCUUUGUACACACCGCCCGUCGCUACUACCGAUUGAAUGGUUUAGUGAG